Molecule: long non-coding RNA, 632 nt
Organism: Leopardus geoffroyi (Geoffroy's cat)
Lineage: Eukaryota; Metazoa; Chordata; Mammalia; Carnivora; Felidae
Exons: 3
Source: RefSeq, a predicted model, not a curated record
AAUAAACAUGAAAAAAAUCUGAAAAAAAAAAAAAAAAAGAAAGCUACAACAGGACUGGCUUUGAAGAAGAAAGAGACCAUGGGCCAAGAAAUGCAGGUGUCCUCUAGAAGCUGGAAAAAACAAGUAAAUGGAUGGAACUCAGAAGGAGACAUCAAAUUCUAUUGCCCUAUAUUUACAACUUGUGUCAAGUCUCUCAAUCAUUGGAAUUAUUGUGCCCAUCAGCGCAUUCCCUUCUACUGAAGUGAAGAACCAAAGAACAGAGCUCUACCUAUGAAGACAGUUUGAGUUCUGCAAGAAAUGUGUAUGAUUCUCAGGGGUUUUUGUUGUUGUUGUUGUUAAUUAGUAUUUUUUCACUCAUAUUCUCAAACAUAAGCAUUUAAAAUUAGAAAAUCCCACUCUACUCAUUAUUGGAACUUAAAAUAUAACUGUAUGGAGCAUAACAAAGUUUUAAAUAGAAUAAUAGAUUGAUUUUCUUUCUAAACAUCUCCUUUUUCUAUGAAAAGUGUUUUCUAGGAUUAAUUGCUAUAGCUUUUAGGCCUUUUGGGAGGACUCUAUGGGCUAAGAAAAGCUAAAUAGGAAGGUGGGAAAAAGGGAAGUAGAGAUUUCUCAUUUAGAAACUUAAGGUUUCUGAA